GAUGAACGCUGACAGAAUGCUUAACACAUGCAAGUCGAACGGAGACAUCUUUAGCUUGCUUUAGAUGUCUUAGUGGCGGACGGGUGAGUAACACGUGAGCAACCUGCCUUUCAGAGGGGGAUAACGUUUGGAAACGAACGCUAAUACCGCAUAACGUAUACGGACGGCAUCGUCUGUAUACCAAAGGAGCAAUCCGCUGAAAGAUGGGCUCGCGUCCGAUUAGCUAGAUGGUGAGGUAACGGCUCACCAUGGCGACGAUCGGUAGCCGGACUGAGAGGUUGAUCGGCCACAUUGGGACUGAGACACGGCCCAG
RNAcentral lists this ribosomal RNA (313 nucleotides) under uncultured bacterium. RNAcentral describes it as "bacterial SSU rRNA". It matches the Rfam family "Bacterial small subunit ribosomal RNA", at positions 28 to 334 of the family's 1533-position model. The record is from RNAcentral.